CUCCUACGGGAGGCAGCAGUGAGGAAUAUUGGUCAAUGGCCGAGAGGCUGAACCAGCCAAGUCGCGUGAAGGAAGAAGGAUCUAUGGUUUGUAAACUUCUUUUAUAGGGGAAUAAAGUGGAGGACGUGUCCUUUUUUGUAUGUACCCUAUGAAUAAGCAUCGGCUAACUCCGUGCCAGCAGCCGCGGUAAUACGGAGGAUGCGAGCGUUAUCCGGAUUUAUUGGGUUUAAAGGGUGCGUAGGUGGUGAUUUAAGUCAGCGGUGAAAGUUUGUGGCUCAACCAUAAAAUUGCCGUUGAAACUGGGUUACUUGAGUGUGUUUGAGGUAGGCGGAAUGCGUGGUGUAGCGGUGAAAUGCAUAGAUAUCACGCAGAACUCCGAUUGCGAAGGCAGCUUACUAAACCAUAACUGACACUGAAGCACGAAAGCGUGGGGAUCAAACAGGAUUAGAUACCCUGGUAGUCCACGCAGUAAACGAUGAUUACUAGGAGUUUGCGAUACAAUGUAAGCUCUACAGCGAAAGCGUUAAGUAAUCCACCUGGGGAGUACGCCGGCAACGGUGAAACUCAAAGGAAUUGACGGGGGCCCGCACAAGCGGAGGAACAUGUGGUUUAAUUCGAUGAUACGCGAGGAACCUUACCCGGGUUUGAACGUAGUCUGACCGGAGUGGAAACACUCUUUCUAGCAAUAGCAGAUUACGAGGUGCUGCAUGGUUGUCGUCAGCUCGUGCCGUGAGGUGUCGGCUUAAGUGCCAUAACGAGCGCAACCCUUAUCACUAGUUACUAACAGGUGAAGCUGAGGACUCUGGUGAGACUGCCAGCAUAAGCUGUGAGGGAGGUGGGGAUGACGUCAAAUCAGCACGGCCCUUACAUCCGGGGCGACACACGUGUUACAAUGGCAUGGACAAAGGGCAGCUACCUGGUGACAGGAUGCUAAUCUCCAAACCAUGUCUCAGUUCGGAUCGGAGUCUGCAACUCGACUCCGUGAAGCUGGAUUCGCUAGUAAUCGCGCAUCAGCCAUGGCGCGGUGAAUACGUUCCCGGGCCUUGUACACACCGC
Molecule: ribosomal RNA, 1056 nt
Filed under: uncultured bacterium
Lineage: Bacteria
Description: bacterial SSU rRNA
Rfam family: Bacterial small subunit ribosomal RNA
Source: RNAcentral